UACGGAGGAUGCGAGCGUUAUCCGGAUUUAUUGGGUUUAAAGGGUGCGUAGGCGGAUCGUUAAGUCAGUGGUCAAAUUGAGGGGCUCAACCCCUUCCCGCCAUUGAAACUGGCGAUCUUGAGUGGAAGAGAAGUAUGCGGAAUGCGUGGUGUAGCGGUGAAAUGCAUAGAUAUCACGCGGAACCCCGAUUGCGAAGGCAGCAUGCCGGCUUCCUACUGACGCUGAAGCACGAAAGCGUGGGGAUCGAACAGG
This 252-nucleotide ribosomal RNA is filed under the name uncultured bacterium. Its description in RNAcentral is "partial 16S ribosomal RNA". It matches the Rfam family "Bacterial small subunit ribosomal RNA", at positions 524 to 776 of the family's 1533-position model. The record is from RNAcentral.